UUGCUACCACUACUACAACUGAUGAUAACAACUCUCAGCAGUUGCCCCUCCAACCCUUCGAUGCCGUGGCGUCAGAUGAUUCUUCUAGUCAUAGUAGGUUGCAGCAGGGUGUACGGAAUGUUACCAAUGGGGUUUCAACAUCUGGGUAUGUAAAAUAUGAUAAUCUUGUUACGAUUAGCUUGAAUGUUUUGUCAAAGAAUGAGGUGAGAGGUUUGAAGGGGAAGCUAGUGAACUUGAACAAGUUCGGGAUUUAGUUAAGAAAUUUGAAGGUAAAGAAAGUAGGCUUAGUGGGGGAUAUGCGAAUUCUCGGGUUUCGGGGAAUGAGAAUGUUGAUAGAGGUGGUGGGUGUUUAGUUAGAGUGAACUCGGAUGUCGGUUCUGUAGGAUUGCCUAGUUCCAGGUCUUUUCAUGGGUUACCUAUGUCAAUGGCAGAGCAUGAUCUUUGUAACGAUGAUGAUGGUGGUGGAAGCGAGUUUGCGGGGAUAAAGAAGAGAAACCCGAAGGCAAAUCCGUAUUAUAAGAAUCCAGAGUUUGCUUUAGGGAUAAAGAAGUUGAAGCCUAGGGAGAGUAAUAAGAAGAUGAAGCCGACCGUUGCGAAGAGUAACGGUGAUCAAAUGGGAGGUGGGAUUGCAUCGGAGAAGUUUUCAAAUCGGUUGUUGAAGAGAUGUAGUAAUUUGUUGGGGAAGUUAAUGAAACAUAAGUUUGGUUGGGUGUUUAAUAAACCGGUGGAUGUGAAGGGACUUGGGUUGCAUGAUUAUUAUACAAUUGUUAAGCAUCCUAUGGAUUUGGGCACGGUGAAGACUAGGUUGAAACAAGAAUUGGUACAAGUCACCUAUGAGUUUGCAGAGGAUGUGAGACUAACUUUCAAUAAUGCAAUGCUUUAUAACCCAAAAGGACAGGAUGUACAUUUUAUGCUAGAAAAAUUGUUGGAGAUAUUUGAAGAAAACUGGGCAGCUAUAGAGUCCGAGUAUAAUCUUAAUAGGAGUUUUGAAAGGACUCACGAUUAUAGUUUGCCAACUCCCCCUUCAAAGAAAAUUCCUGCUCUGGCUCCAGCUUCAGCUCCGAUUCAAGCUCCUCCUACUUCAUCGCUAUCAUUAGAAGCUAGGACUUUGGAGAGACCAGGAUCCAAGGCAAUGCUGGAUGAUCCCAAGUCCAGAGAUGUUGACUUGACUCCUACUGGUAGGAUUGCAGUACCAAAGGAACCCAAGGCAAAGGAUCCUGAUAAGAGGGAUAUGACUUAUGAUGAAAAACAGAGACUCAGUGUAAACCUCCAGAACUUGCCUUCGGAGAAACUUGAUAGCAUUGUCCAGAUUAUUAAGAAGAGGAACCCAGCACUUUUCCAGCAAGAAGAUGAGAUCGAGGUGGAUAUUGACAGUUUUGAUCCAGAAACACUUUGGGAACUUGAUAGAUUUGUGACCAACUAUAAGAAUAGUUUGAGCAAACACAAGAGAAAAGCUGAAGUUGCACAUCAAGCAAAUGCUGAAAAUGAUCAUGAUAUUCAGGAGAUUGUAAGAUGAUGAACAAGUGAUUUUGAAACACCUAACUGUUCUCCCUGUUUUGAAUUGUUGCUCACUGGAACAUGUUGUUGUUAUUCUUUUUGCAGAAUCCAGAACCACCUACUAAAGAGGUACCAAAAGUAGCUGAAACAGGUAAUUACC
RNAcentral lists this long non-coding RNA (1657 nucleotides) under Gossypium barbadense (sea-island cotton). RNAcentral's name for it is "long non-coding RNA (GBAR_LNC002942)". The record is from RNAcentral. Lineage: Eukaryota; Viridiplantae; Streptophyta; Magnoliopsida; Malvales; Malvaceae.